This 663-nucleotide long non-coding RNA is filed under the name Homo sapiens (human). RNAcentral's name for it is "HSALNT0037180". The record is from RNAcentral. Lineage: Eukaryota; Metazoa; Chordata; Mammalia; Primates; Hominidae.
GGGGACCCGAGACCCACCUGGGGCGCCCCCCGUCGUCGCCAGGCUCCGCGCCCGGGUCCCGACACAUUUUUAGUCCAUCAUCCCUGUCCGAGGCACUUCCUAAAAGAAGAAGAAACUCGACCUCUGUUGCCUCCCAGGCAUCCAGGCCAGCCCCAGCCUGUGGAAUCCUGGUUGCACACCCGUGGGGGCAGAACCCGAAGAGGAGCUGCCCGAAUGUGCCCCUAGAAGGAGUGUCGCUAAUGAUGGGACCGUUCAGCUCACCCAGCCUCGAGUUGUGGCUAGCCUAUAAACAAACUUGGAAGAUGAAAACCCAAGAGCAAGGGGAAAGACACAAGUUUCCCUUUCACAGACACAUGCAUCCGGAUGUCUUUUCUCCUCCCCAUAUGGUUUCCCAAAGGAAAUCCUAAUAUUCAAAUGAUUCUGAUUUCCUGGCAGGAUAGCCUGCAUCCAUGUUAAUGAGAUUCUUUCUUAGGCUCCUGGUCUCUGCUUACUAUUAAGGCAAUAAUAAUUUACCCAAGGUUACAAGGCUGUAUUAUUUGAUUCACUCAUCUCCUGCUUCCUUCCAGAAGGGAAGUACCCAAGGAUAGGUAACUAGAGUCAGCGUAGCUUUGAAGUCAGACAGGUGAGUGUUUGACUGUUGACUUCCUGAACUGUGUAACGUUG